GUGCCAUAAUACAUGCAGUCGAGCGGACAGAASGGAGCUUGCUCCCGGAUGUUAGCGGCGGACGGGUGAGUAACACGUGGGUAACCUGCCUGUAAGACUGGGAUAACUCCGGGAAACCGGAGCUAAUACCGGAUAGUUCCUUGAACCGCAUGGUUCAAGGAUGAAAGACGGUUUCGGCUGUCACUUACAGAUGGACCCGCGGCGCAUUAGCUAGUUGGUGGGGUAAUGGCUCACCAAGGCGACGAUGCGUAGCCGACCUGAGAGGGUGAUCGGCCACACUGGGACUGAGACACGGCCCAGACUCCUACGGGAGGCAGCAGUAGGGAAUCUUCCGCAAUGGACGAAAGUCUGACGGAGCAACGCCGCGUGAGUGAUGAAGGUUUUCGGAUCGUAAAGCUCUGUUGUUAGGGAAGAACAAGUGCGAGAGUAACUGCUCGCACCUUGACGGUACCUAACCAGAAAGCCACGGCUAACUACGUGCCAGCAGCCGCGGUAAUACGUAGGUGGCAAGCGUUGUCCGGAAUUAUUGGGCGUAAAGGGCUCGCAGGCGGUUCUUAGUCUGAUGUGAAGCCCCGGCUCAACCGGGGAGGUCAUGAAACUGGUAACUGAUGCAAGAG
This 617-nucleotide ribosomal RNA is filed under the name Bacillus safensis. RNAcentral's name for it is "bacterial SSU rRNA". Lineage: Bacteria; Bacillati; Bacillota; Bacilli; Caryophanales; Bacillaceae. The record is from RNAcentral.